GAUGAACGCUGGCGGCGUGCUUAACACAUGCAAGUCGAACGAACCUUCGGGUUAGUGGCGGACGGGUGAGUAACGCGUGAGAAUCUGCCCUCAGGAGGGGGAUAACGGCUGGAAACGGCCGCUAAUACCCCAUAUGCCGAGAGGUGAAAUGAAUUUCGCCUGAGGAUGAGCUCGCGUCUGAUUAGCUAGUUGGUGGGGUAAGAGCCUACCAAGGCUUCGAUCAGUAGCUGGUCUGAGAGGAUGAUCAGCCACACUGGGACUGAGACACGGCCCAGACUCCUACGGGAGGCAGCAGUGGGGAAUUUUCCGCAAUGGGCGAAAGCCUGACGGAGCAACGCCGCGUGAGGGAUGAAGGCCUCUGGGCUGUAAACCUCUUUUCUCAAGGAAGAAGACCUGACGGUACUUGAGGAAUAAGCCACGGCUAAUUCCGUGCCAGCAGCCGCGGUAAUACGGGAGUGGCAAGCGUUAUCCGGAAUUAUUGGGCGUAAAGCGUCCGCAGGCGGCCUUUUAAGUCUGUCGUUAAAGCGUGGAGCUUAACUCCAUUUAAGCGAUGGAAACUAGAAGGCUAGAGUGUGGUAGGGGCAGAGGGAAUUCCCGGUGUAGCGGUGAAAUGCGUAGAUAUCGGGAAGAACACCAGUGGCGAAGGCGCUCUGCUGGGCCAUAACUGACGCUCAUGGACGAAAGCCAGGGGAGCGAAAGGGAUUAGAUACCCCUGUAGUCCUGGCCGUAAACGAUGAACACUAGGUGUCGGGGGAAUCGACCCCCUCGGUGUCGUAGCCAACGCGUUAAGUGUUCCGCCUGGGGAGUACGCACGCAAGUGUGAAACUCAAAGGAAUUGACGGGGGCCCGCACAAGCGGUGGAGUAUGUGGUUUAAUUCGAUGCAACGCGAAGAACCUUACCAGGGUUUGACAUCCUGCGAAUCCCUUGGAAACGAGGGAGUGCCUUCGGGAGCGCAGAGACAGGUGGUGCAUGGCUGUCGUCAGCUCGUGUCGUGAGAUGUUGGGUUAAGUCCCGCAACGAGCGCAACCCACGUCGUUAGUUGCCAGCAUUCAGUUGGGCACUCUAGCGAGACCGCCGGUGAUAAACCGGAGGAAGGUGUGGAUGACGUCAAGUCAUCAUGCCCCUUACAUCCUGGGCUACACACGUACUACAAUGCUACGGACAAAGGGCAGCAAGCUCGCGAGAGUUAGCAAAUCCCAUAAACCGUGGCUCAGUUCAGAUCGUAGGCUGCAACUCGCCUACGUGAAGGAGGAAUCGCUAGUAAUCGCAGGUCAGCAUACUGCGGUGAAUACGUUCCCGGGCCUUGUACACACCGCCCGUCACACCAUGGAAGUUGGCCACGCCCGAAGUCGUUACUCCAACCCUUGUGGAGGAGGACGCCGAAGGUGGGGCUGAUGACUGGGGUGAAGUCGUAACAAGGUAGCCGUACCGGAAGGUGCGGCUGGAUCACCUCCU
Molecule: ribosomal RNA, 1456 nt
Filed under: Cyanobium sp. JJNV
Lineage: Bacteria; Bacillati; Cyanobacteriota; Cyanophyceae; Synechococcales; Prochlorococcaceae
Description: 16S ribosomal RNA
Rfam family: Bacterial small subunit ribosomal RNA
Source: RNAcentral